Molecule: ribosomal RNA, 527 nt
Filed under: uncultured bacterium
Lineage: Bacteria
Description: partial 16S ribosomal RNA
Rfam family: Bacterial small subunit ribosomal RNA
Source: RNAcentral
UGGGGAAUAUUGGACAAUGGGGGCAACCCUGAUCCAGCAAUGCCGCGUGUGUGAAGAAGGUCUUCGGAUUGUAAAGCACUUUCGACGGGGACGAUGAUGACGGUACCCGUAGAAGAAGCCCCGGCUAACUUCGUGCCAGCAGCCGCGGUAAUACGAAGGGGGCUAGCGUUGCUCGGAAUGACUGGGCGUAAAGGGCGUGUAGGCGGUUUACACAGUCAGAUGUGAAAUCCCCGGGCUUAACCUGGGAGCUGCAUUUGAUACGUGUAGACUAGAGUGUGAGAGAGGGUUGUGGAAUUCCCAGUGUAGAGGUGAAAUCCGUAGAUAUUGGGAAGAACACCGGUGGCGAAGGCGGCAACCUGGCUCAUGACUGACGCUGAGGCGCGAAAGCGUGGGGAGCAAACAGGAUUAGAUACCCUGGUAGUCCACGCUGUAAACGAUGUGUGCUAGAUGUUGGGUAACUUUGUUAUUCAGUGUCGCAGUUAACGCGUUAAGCACACCGCCUGGGGAGUACGGCCGCAAGGUUGAAA